AGUAUCAAUGCUCUUCCUCUCUCCCCCCCUCUCACUGCAGACAUGAAACACUGGCUGACUAACAUCCUGAUUCUGACUCUCUGGCUAGAGUGUAAAGGAGAAGACAGAGUGAUCCAGCCACCAGGAGAUGUCAUUACUACUGAAGGAGAGACACUUACUCUUGGCUGUACAUUUGAGACCAGUGACCCAACUCCCACUUUGUUCUGGUACAAACAAGAAGGAAAUGAUUACCCAAAGAUGCUGCUGCAACGUUUCUCUGUAAAAGCUGAUCAUUCUAAAGAGAAAGAGAGAGUUGAUGCUGGAAUAAAGGAUAAGUCAAUUCCUCUGGAGAUCCAGAAGCUUCAGCUGUCUGACUCUGCUGUGUACUACUGUGCUCUGAGGCCCACAGUGACAGGAAACACCAAAACUCUGUACAAAAACCUUUGGAGCAAAGACAACACAAUACUCCAAAACGUCCACCAGAGGGACACACACUGUUAACCUUCAACAUGAUGU
This is a non-coding RNA of Etheostoma cragini (Arkansas darter), 495 nucleotides long. The record is from the annotation of a RefSeq genome assembly. Lineage: Eukaryota; Metazoa; Chordata; Actinopteri; Perciformes; Percidae.